This 500-nucleotide ribosomal RNA is filed under the name uncultured bacterium. Its description in RNAcentral is "partial 16S ribosomal RNA". It matches the Rfam family "Bacterial small subunit ribosomal RNA", at positions 30 to 523 of the family's 1533-position model. The record is from RNAcentral.
AUUGAACGCUGGCGGAAUGCUUUACACAUGCAAGUCGAACGGCAGCACGGACUUCGGUCUGGUGGCGAGUGGCGAACGGGUGAGUAAUGUAUCGGAACGCGCCCAGUCGUGGGGGAUAACGUAGUGAAAAUUACGCUAAUACCGCAUACGAUCUAGGGAUGAAAGUGGGGGAUCUCAAGACCUCGCGCUAUUGGAUGGGCCGAUAUCAGAUUAGGUAGUUGGUGGGGUAAAGGCCCACCAAGCCAACGAUCUGUAGCUGGUCUGAGAGGACGACCAGCCACACUGGAACUGAGACACGGUCCAGACUCCUACGGGAGGCAGCAGUGGGGAAUUUUGGACAAUGGGUGAAAGCCUGAUCCAGCCAUUCCGCGUGCAGGAUGAAGGCCCUCGGGUUGUAAACUGCUUUUGUACAGAACGAAAAGGUUUCUACUAAUACUAGGAGCUCAUGACGGUACUGUAAGAAUAAGCACCGGCUAACUACGUGCCAGCCGCCGCAGUAA